CUUUUUGUGCAUAAUGUAUAUAUAGGGGGGUGGUAGUACUCUUGGGGUAGACAGGCAUGUGCUGGGAUGGCAUGCCAAGGCAUGUGCUGGGAUGGCAUGCCAAGGCGUGUGCUGGGAUGGCAUGCCAAGGACAAGCAUGUGCUAGGAAGGCAUGCCAAGGGCAAGACAAGGCCAUGGCAAGCACAUGCAUCGCGAGGGAGAUGAGAUGGUUACGUUUACCCCAAGAGUGCCCAAGGGAAGGAAGGUGUCAAACGCAUGCUGAGCCCCACUUCGGUAGUUUGGCACCCCCAUAGGCAUUUAGCCAAGCGUGCCUAUGGGAAGGUCUGUUGAGCUUGUCACCUAUGUCGGUUAUUAUUUUACGGAUGAGAUGAUGGCACAAGGAUUCUUGCACUAAGGUAACGUUUCGGCAGCACAGCCAGCCCGCAAUUGCUAGUUCAAGCGAGUGGAAUCUGCCUAUAGGGCUGUUGCUUGCUUGUUGUGAAGUUGGGACACACUAAAUAUCUAUCAUGCACAGACGCAAUACUUAAAUGGCCCCAUAGGUAUUCAGGCACGCGUGCCUAUCGGAAAAGUCGGUCGAGCUUGUCAACCAUGUUGGGUAUUAUUCUACGGACGAGAUGAUGGCACAAGGAUGCUUGCUAGGUAACGUUUUGGCACCAGACCGCAAAUGCUACUUCAAGCUUCAGCGGGUGGAAUCUGCCUAUAGGGACGUUGCUUGCUUGCUGUGGAGUUGGGACACGCCCAAUAUCUAUCAUUGACCAGGUAAUACCUGCAUGGCCCCAUAGGUAUAUUCAGGCAAGCGUGCCUAUGGGUAAAGUCGGUGGAGCUUGCCAACAACCAUGUUAGCUGUAGUCUGGACCGAUGAUGGCACAAGGAUGCUUGCUUUAAGGUAACAUUCCGGCAGCACAGCCAGCCCGCAAUUGCUAGUUCAAGCGGGUGGAAUCUGCCUAUAGGGGUGUUGCUUGCUUGCUGUGGAUUUGGGACACGCCCAAUAUCUAUCAACGACCCAACGAAGUGCUCAACAUGGGUUGCUGAGGGCUAUUUUGGCACAGAUGGUUCACUUGUUUGCUUGGCUUUGAUAAAUGUUUAGAUUUCAUGAUUUCUGGGAUCCAAUAAAUUUAUGUGGGAAGCUGAGAGCUGGAACCCAAUGUCAUCCACCAGACGGCUUAGCUUCGUCAGUGUGUAUAAUAUGUCAUUGAACCCCAAUCCUUGAUGCCAACCUGAUUAUGACUUUUGGAUCGCAAUUAUCAUGGAUAUCAAAAACUGAGUAGGAGUCAUGGAAUAAGUGAGCAAUUUGUAGCCUUAAUAGCUCUUAGCUUUCGCAUCGCCCGGUGUGUUUUGGGAAUCGCUUUUUGCAUUUGGUUGCCUGCCGUGCCUCUUGGCAUACGGUGGGUGCCACUUGCCGGGUGGUUUUCGGAAACAUCCACCGUAAAGGUGCAUGAGUGGUGUUUGGUUUGUUUCGGGUGGUUGGCUCUUUGCUUGCGCAACAACUGCCACCCGACUUACCUCUUCAGAUGUUUGCCUAGGCUUGUAUAGCCUAAGCAGAUUGUGGGUUUCCUGUGUUGCCUACCUACGUCACGGAAUUGUCCCGAUCGAUCAAAGUUGCUUUCGUCUUGUGUCGUCUUGAUGGCAUAAGAUGAACCAUGAAGCUGUCUCUUUGCACCGCAUCGUUAAUGCAUGCAUUGAUGUUGUGGCCCAUUGAGCAUUGCUUGGUACCUUGGAUACGGAACCUUAUGUGGGCAUGGGUCCUCAGGGAUCCUUUCUGCCCUCGUUUAGCGUUCGCGCUUCUCUUAGAAUGACUGCCCAUCUAGAAAGGGAAGCCAUUCCGGAUGGGCGUUGUCAAAGAGGAAUGC
Molecule: unclassified non-coding RNA, 1850 nt
Filed under: Helianthus paradoxus
Lineage: Eukaryota; Viridiplantae; Streptophyta; Magnoliopsida; Asterales; Asteraceae
Description: partial external transcribed spacer
Source: RNAcentral